AUAAUGCAGUCGAACGAGUUCUCGUUGAUGAUCGGUGCUUGCACCGAGAUUCAACAUGGAACGAGUGGCGGACGGGUGAGUAACACGUGGGUAACCUGCCCUUAAGUGGGGGAUAACAUUUGGAAACAGAUGCUAAUACCGCAUAGAUCCAAGAACCGCAUGGUUCUUGGCUGAAAGAUGGCGUAAGCUAUCGCUUUUGGAUGGACCCGCGGCGUAUUAGCUAGUUGGUGAGGUAAUGGCUCACCAAGGCGAUGAUACGUAGCCGAACUGAGAGGUUGAUCGGCCACAUUGGGACUGAGACACGGCCCAAACUCCUACGGGAGGCAGCAGUAGGGAAUCUUCCACAAUGGACGCAAGUCUGAUGGAGCAACGCCGCGUGAGUGAAGAAGGCUUUCGGGUCGUAAAACUCUGUUGUUGGAGAAGAAUGGUCGGCAGAGUAACUGUUGUCGGCGUGACGGUAUCCAACCAGAAAGCCACGGCUAACUACGUGCCAGCAGCCGCGGUAAUACGUAGGUGGCAAGCGUUAUCCGGAUUUAUUGGGCGUAAAGCGAGCGCAGGCGGUUUUUUAAGUCUGAUGUGAAAGCCCUCGGCUUAACCGAGGAAGCGCAUCGGAAACUGGGAAACUUGAGUGCAGAAGAGGACAGUGGAACUCCAUGUGUAGCGGUGAAAUGCGUAGAUAUAUGGAAGAACACCAGUGGCGAAGGCGGCUGUCUGGUCUGUAACUGACGCUGAGGCUCGAAAGCAUGGGUAGCGAACAGGAUUAGAUACCCUGGUAGUCCAUGCCGUAAACGAUGAAUGCUAGGUGUUGGAGGGUUUCCGCCCUUCAGUGCCGCAGCUAACGCAUUAAGCAUUCCGCCUGGGGAGUACGACCGCAAGGUUGAAACUCAAAGGAAUUGACGGGGGCCCGCACAAGCGGUGGAGCAUGUGGUUUAAUUCGAAGCAACGCGAAGAACCUUACCAGG
RNAcentral lists this ribosomal RNA (962 nucleotides) under Lacticaseibacillus casei. RNAcentral's name for it is "bacterial SSU rRNA". It matches the Rfam family "Bacterial small subunit ribosomal RNA", at positions 51 to 978 of the family's 1533-position model. Lineage: Bacteria; Bacillati; Bacillota; Bacilli; Lactobacillales; Lactobacillaceae. The record is from RNAcentral.